GAUGAACGCUGGCGGCGUGCCUAAUACAUGCAAGUCGAGCGAACGGACGAGAAGCUUGCUUCUCUGAUGUUAGCGGCGGACGGGUGAGUAACACGUGGAUAACCUACCUAUAAGACUGGGAUAACUUCGGGAAACCGUAGCUAAUACCGGAUAAUAUUUUGAACCGCAUGGUUCAAAAGUGAAAGACGGUCUUGCUGUCACUUAUAGAUGGAUCCGCGCUGCAUUAGCUAGUUGGUAAGGUAACGGCUUACCAAGGCAACGAUGCAUAGCCGACCUGAGAGGGUGAUCGGCCACACUGGAACUGAGACACGGUCCAGACUCCUACGGGAGGCAGCAGUAGGGAAUCUCCCGCAAUGGGCGAAAGCCUGACGGAGCAACGCCGCGUGAGUGAUGAAGGUCUUCGGAUCGUAAAACUCUGUUAUUAGGGAAGAACAUAUGUGUAAGUAACUGUGCACAUCUUGACGGUACCUAAUCAGAAAGCCACGGCUAACUACGU
RNAcentral lists this ribosomal RNA (496 nucleotides) under uncultured bacterium. RNAcentral's name for it is "partial 16S ribosomal RNA". It matches the Rfam family "Bacterial small subunit ribosomal RNA", at positions 28 to 506 of the family's 1533-position model. The record is from RNAcentral.